AGCAGCCGCGGUAAUUCCAGCUCCAAUAGCGUAUAUUAAAGUUGUUGCAGUUAAAAAGCUCGUAGUUGAAUUUCGGGAUCAGUACGUCGGUCGUGCCGUGGUACGUACUGGCGUCGCUGAUUUCUCCCUUCUGACGAACCGUGAUGCCAUUAAUUUGGUGUUGCGGGGAAUCAGGACUGUUACUUUGAAAAAAUUAGAGUGUUUAAAGCGGGCACGCGCUUGAAUACAUUAGCAUGGAAUAAUGAAAUAGGACGUUCGAUCCUAUUUUGUGGUUUCUAGGAUUGACGUAAUGAUUAAUAGGGAUAGUUGGGGGCAUUAGUAUUCAAUUGUCAGAGGUGAAAUUCUUGGAUUUAUUGAAGACUUAACUACUGCGAAAGCAUUUGCCAAGGAUGUUUUCAUUAAUCAAGAACGAAAGUUAGGGAUCGAAGACGAUCAGAUACCGUCGUAGUCUUAACCAUAAACUNUAGCCGAUAGGGAUCGGAUGAUGUUUAUUUUUAAUGACUCUAUUCGGCGCCGUUAC
This 520-nucleotide ribosomal RNA is filed under the name uncultured Glomus. RNAcentral's name for it is "SSU rRNA". It matches the Rfam family "Eukaryotic small subunit ribosomal RNA", at positions 569 to 1092 of the family's 1831-position model. The record is from RNAcentral. Lineage: Eukaryota; Fungi; Glomeromycota; Glomeromycetes; Glomerales; Glomeraceae.